GACGAACGCUGGCGGCGUGCUUAACACAUGCAAGUCGAACGCUGAAGCUCAGCUUUUGUUGGGUGGAUGAGUGGCGAACGGGUGAGUAACACGUGAGUAACCUGCCUCCUUCUUUGGGAUAACGCCCGGAAACGGGUGCUAAUACUGGAUAUUCACUGGUCUUCGCAUGGGGGUUGGUGGAAAGGGUUUUUCUGGUGGGGGAUGGGCUCGCGGCCUAUCAGCUUGUUGGUGGGGUGAUGGCCUACCAAGGCUUUGACGGGUAGCCGGCCUGAGAGGGUGACCGGUCACAUUGGGACUGAGAUACGGCCCAGACUUCUACGGGAGGCAGCAGUGGGGAAUAUUGCACAAUGGGCGCAAGCCUGAUGCAGCGACGCCGCGUGAGGGAUGGAGGCCUUCGGGUUGUGAACCUCUUUCGCUCAUGGUCAAGCCGCAACAAUGGUUGUGGUGAGGGUAGUGGGUAAAGAAGCGCCGGCUAACUACGUG
Molecule: ribosomal RNA, 483 nt
Filed under: uncultured bacterium
Lineage: Bacteria
Description: partial 16S ribosomal RNA
Rfam family: Bacterial small subunit ribosomal RNA
Source: RNAcentral